RNAcentral lists this ribosomal RNA (254 nucleotides) under uncultured bacterium. Its description in RNAcentral is "partial 16S ribosomal RNA". It matches the Rfam family "Bacterial small subunit ribosomal RNA", at positions 524 to 776 of the family's 1533-position model. The record is from RNAcentral.
UACGGGGGGGGCGAGCGUUGUUCGGAAUCACUGGGCGUAAAGGGCGCGUAGGCGGCCCGCACAAGCCUGCGGUGAAAACCCCCGGCUUAACCGGGGGCCGGCCGUGGAAACUGUCGGGCUGGAGGCUGGGAGAGGGCAGCGGAAUUCCCGGUGUAGCGGUGAAAUGCGUAGAGAUCGGGAGGAACACCGGCGGCGAAGGCGGCUGCCUGGACCAGUCCUGACGCUGAGGCGCGAAAGCUAGGGGAGCAAACAGG